This 427-nucleotide ribosomal RNA is filed under the name uncultured bacterium. Its description in RNAcentral is "bacterial SSU rRNA". It matches the Rfam family "Bacterial small subunit ribosomal RNA", at positions 917 to 1344 of the family's 1533-position model. The record is from RNAcentral.
GGGCCCGCACAAGCGGUGGAGUAUGUGGUUUAAUUCGAUGCAACGCGAAGAACCUUACCUACACUUGACAUCCAGAGAACUUUCUAGAGAUAGAUUGGUGCCUUCGGGAACUCUGAGACAGGUGCUGCAUGGCUGUCGUCAGCUCGUGUCGUGAGAUGUUGGGUUAAGUCCUAUAACGAGCGCAACCCUUACCCUUAUUUGCCAGCGGUUAGGCCGGGAACUAUAAGGGAACUGCCGGUAAUAAGCCGGAGGAAGGUGGGGACGACGUCAAGUCAUCAUGGCCCUUACGUGUAGGGCUACACACGUGCUACAAUGGCUAAUACAAUGGGCAGCCAACCCGCGAGGGGGAGCCAAUCCAAUAAAAUUAGUCUCAGUCCGGAUCGAAGUCUGCAACUCGACUUCGUGAAGUUGGAAUCGCUAGUAAUCG